CCCAAGGCACUUAUUGUAAGUGUAGGGUUGUUAACUCCGGUGUUCUGGCUAAAUUCCCAAUCUGGCCCUCAAACCAUCACGGUCACCUAAUAAUCCCCAGUUUACUUUCCCCUGUAACUAUUCCCCAGGUCGUUGCUGUAAAUGAGAAUGUGUUCUCAGUCUACUUACCUCGUAAAAUAAGUUUGCAGAUGACACAACAGUGGUAGGCCUGGACAACAACGAGACAGUCUGUAGGCAGGAGGUCAGUGACCUGGCUGUGUGGUGCCACAACAACAACCUCUCCCUCAAUGUGAUCAAGAUAAAGUAGAUGAUUGUGGACUACAUGAAAAGGAGGACCAAGCAUGCCUACAUUCUCAUUGACGGAUCAGGUUGAGAGCUUCAAGUUCCUUGGUGUCCACAUCAUCAAAUUAAAUUUAUUUAUAUAGCCCUUCGUACAUCAGCUGGGUUUCUGUAAAGCACUUUGUGACAUCGACUGAUGUAAAAAAACAUUUGAUUGAUUGAUUGAUCACCGGAGCCAAGCUUCCUGCCAUCGAGGACCUCUAUAACAGGCAGUGUCAGAGGAAGGCCCUAGAAAUUGUCAAAGACUCCAGCCACCCUAGUCACAAACUGUUCUCUCUGCUACCGCAUGGCAAGCGGUACCGGAGCUCCAAACCUAGGUCCAAGAGGCUUCUUAAAACAGCUUCUACCCCCAAGCUAUAAGACUCCUGAACAUCUAAUCAAAUGACUACCCAGACUUUUCGCAUUGCCCCCCCCCCCUCUUUUACGCUGCUGUUACUCCUGUUAUUAUCUAAGCAUCUACAUGUACAUAUUACCUCAAUUACCUUGACUAACCUGUACCCCUGCACAUUGACUCUGUAUUGCUAUAUAGUCUCACUAUUGUUAUUUUACUGAUGCUCUUUAAAUACUUGUUACUUUUAUUUCUUAUUCUUAUUCACAUUUUUUAUACUGCAUUGUUGGUUAAGUGCUUGAAAGUAAUCAUUUCACUGUAAGGUCUACACCUUUUGUAUUCGGCGCAUGUGACUAAUAAUGUUUGAUUUGAUAAAAUGCAAUUGUGUUAAUUUUUCUUAGCUUAUGUGUGCCCAUACCAUAACCCCACCG
Molecule: long non-coding RNA, 1098 nt
Organism: Oncorhynchus tshawytscha (Chinook salmon)
Lineage: Eukaryota; Metazoa; Chordata; Actinopteri; Salmoniformes; Salmonidae
Source: Ensembl